AAUGUGGUUAAUGAUGCUGAACUUUUUUCCCCAUCAUAUCGACCAUGGUGAAAACUAGCUGAUACUAAGCCAGUUUUGUCUGAAACCACAUU
Molecule: small nucleolar RNA, 92 nt
Organism: Kryptolebias marmoratus (mangrove rivulus)
Lineage: Eukaryota; Metazoa; Chordata; Actinopteri; Cyprinodontiformes; Rivulidae
Product: small nucleolar SNORD12/SNORD106
Source: Ensembl